Molecule: small nucleolar RNA, 138 nt
Organism: Ornithorhynchus anatinus (platypus)
Lineage: Eukaryota; Metazoa; Chordata; Mammalia; Monotremata; Ornithorhynchidae
Source: RefSeq, a predicted model, not a curated record
CCCCUCUCAGAAUCGCACCCGGCGAGUUUCCAGUACUCUACCAGCCUAGGCUAUAGGAGGGAAAGCCAAGCAGAGGCCUAUCCAUUCCAUUCCUAGCUUGGGCAGUGGCUAGCGAGUGGAAGGCAAUCUGCUCCAAGU